This 119-nucleotide small RNA is filed under the name Salmonella enterica subsp. enterica serovar Infantis. RNAcentral's name for it is "RtT sRNA". It matches the Rfam family "RtT RNA". Rfam says of the family: This family represents a bacterial cis-regulatory element known as RtT RNA. RNAcentral also lists the same sequence under 2 other names. The record is from RNAcentral. Lineage: Bacteria; Pseudomonadati; Pseudomonadota; Gammaproteobacteria; Enterobacterales; Enterobacteriaceae.
UGUAUCUGAAGUCUGACGAGGAUGAGAACCUCCGGGGGCAAGAGGUUCGACUCGAGCGAAGCGAGAGAACGUUGCGCCAGCAACGGCCCGCAGGGCGAGCCACCCUCUAUCACCGGCAG